This 486-nucleotide ribosomal RNA is filed under the name uncultured bacterium. RNAcentral's name for it is "partial 16S ribosomal RNA". It matches the Rfam family "Bacterial small subunit ribosomal RNA", at positions 30 to 507 of the family's 1533-position model. The record is from RNAcentral.
AUUGAACGCUGGCGGCAUGCCUUACACAUGCAAGUCGAACGGCAGCACGGGUGCUUGCACCUGGUGGCGAGUGGCGAACGGGUGAGUAAUACAUCGGAACAUGUCCUGUAGUGGGGGAUAGCCCGGCGAAAGCCGGAUUAAUACCGCAUACGAUCUACGGAUGACAGCGGGGGACCUUCGGGCCUCGCGCUAUAGGGUUGGCCGAUGGCUGAUUAGCUAGUUGGUGGGGUAAAGGCCUACCAAGGCGACGAUCAGUAGCUGGUCUGAGAGGACGACCAGCCACACUGGGAGUGAGACAGGGACAAGACUCCUACGGGAGGCAGCAGUGGGGAAUUUUGGACAAUGGGCGAAAGCCUGAUCCAGCAAUGCCGCGUGUGUGAAGAAGGCCUUCGGGUUGUAAAGCACUUUUGUCCGGAAAGAAAUCCUUGGCCCUAAUACGGUCGGGGGAUGACGGUACCGGAAGAAUAAGCACCGGCUAACUACGUG